UCGGGAUGCGUUUUGGAUAUCGAGCGUCAUGGCUCAAAUGAUUACAGGAUGAGUACAUCAGGAUAUCAGCUAACUGAAGUAAAGACGGUGAGCGUUUGAGCAAGAGUUAGGAAUGAAGAGAAUACGAUUCCUGAAUGUAGAAAAUCGCACUGUAAUGAUUUUGUUAGUCGAAUAAACAUGAUCACUUAAUCCCAUGUGCUUACGCGUUUCCAUUGAGUUUUGUGCGCAGAAAUUACUGUCUUACAGCUAUACGGUACAAAAACGCAACAGCAAACGCAAAUCCUUAUAAGUUUGUUUCUCAGAGAAGUCGGCCAAAAAGGACACAUUUGUGAGAAAAAUGAUGCAAUAUCUAAAAUAGCCCAAUUAUUCUGGGUGAAAUGAUGAAGAUCUGUCCUCUCACUACCUAAAGUCCCACCCCUUUUCAUCGUUUUCGACUAAAUCAAUAUUCACGGUUGGAAAGGCUAACACAUCUAAAAAUCGAUGCCAAGUAAACAUUUCGACCACGACGAUCAAUGAUUUGGCUUCUUUAAUCCUUUAAAUUUCAAUGUGUUGUACAU
Pocillopora damicornis (cauliflower coral) is the source of this 557-nucleotide long non-coding RNA. The record is from RefSeq and is a predicted model, not a curated record. NCBI's taxonomy places the organism in Eukaryota, Metazoa, Cnidaria, Anthozoa, Scleractinia, Pocilloporidae.